This 439-nucleotide ribosomal RNA is filed under the name uncultured bacterium. RNAcentral describes it as "partial 16S ribosomal RNA". It matches the Rfam family "Bacterial small subunit ribosomal RNA", at positions 339 to 795 of the family's 1533-position model. The record is from RNAcentral.
CUACGGGUCGCUGCAGUGAGGAAUAUUGCACAAUGGGGGGAACCCUGAUGCAGCAACGCCGCGUGGAGGAUGACGCAUUUCGGGGUGUAAACUCCUUUUAUAUGUCAAGAAAAUGACGGUAGCAUAUGAAUAAGCACCGGCUAACUCCGUGCCAGCAGCCGCGGUAAUACGGAGGGUGCAAGCGUUACUCGGAAUCACUGGGCGUAAAGGACGCGUAGGCGGGCUUGUAAGUCAGGUGUGAAAUCCUACAGCUUAACUGUAGAACUGCACUUGAAACUACGAGCCUAGAGUAUGGGAGGGGGAGAUGGAAUUAGUGGUGUAGGGGUAAAAUCCGUAAAUAUCACUAGGAAUACCUAAAGCGAAGGCGAUCUCCUGGAACAUAACUGACGCUAAGGCGUGAAAGCGUGGGGAGCAAACAGGAUUAGAUACCCUCGUAGUC